This 388-nucleotide RNase P RNA is filed under the name Prevotella sp. RNAcentral describes it as "RNase P RNA component class A". It matches the Rfam family "Bacterial RNase P class A". From Rfam's summary of the family: Ribonuclease P (RNase P) is a ubiquitous endoribonuclease, found in archaea, bacteria and eukarya as well as chloroplasts and mitochondria. Its best characterised activity is the generation of mature 5'-ends of tRNAs by cleaving the 5'-leader elements of precursor-tRNAs. Cellular RNase Ps are ribonucleoproteins. The record is from RNAcentral. Lineage: Bacteria; Pseudomonadati; Bacteroidota; Bacteroidia; Bacteroidales; Prevotellaceae.
GCAGUGGCUCGGCUUGUCGCUGGUGUCCAACCACCUUCGAAAUUCGGAGGGAAGGGAUGCGAGAGGAAAGUCCGGGCAGCACAGGGCGCCCCACUUCUGAAAAUGGAAGCAGUUGGCGACAGCUGGUGUCGGAAGAAGAAAAUAACCGCCCGUCAAAGGGUAAGGGUGAGAAGGUGGUGUAAGAGACCACCAGCCGCUGGGCGAUCAGCGGGCUGUUCCAUCUGGGGGCUGCAAGUUCAUGUAAACCAUCGUCUGAGGGUUGCCCGCCCGAGUAAUACGGUGGAGGGUAGAAUGCUGGAGCCGUAGGGUGACUUGCGGAGUAGAUAAAUGACAGGCGUCCUGCCGUAAGGACAGGAAACAGAACCCGGCUUACAGAGCCACUGCUUUC